Molecule: non-coding RNA, 25 nt
Filed under: Mus musculus (house mouse)
Lineage: Eukaryota; Metazoa; Chordata; Mammalia; Rodentia; Muridae
Source: RNAcentral
UACCAGAUAAAGAUGGGGGAAGAGU